GUAGGGAAUAUUGGGCAAUGGAAGCAAUUCUGACCCAGCCAUGCCGCGUGAAGGAAUACAGCCCUAUGGGUUUUAAACUUCUUUUAUUAUAGAGUAAACGGAGGUACGUGUACCUCCCUGCAAGUAUAUGAUGAAUAAGGAUCGGCUAACUCCGUGCCAGCAGCCGCGGUAAUACGGAGGAUCCAAGCGUUAUCCGGAUUUAUUGGGUUUAAAGGGUGCGCAGGCGGAUCAAUAAGUCAGGGGUGAAAAAUUUCAGCUUAACUGGAAUCGUGCCUUUGAUACUGUUGGACUAGAGUAUAAUUGACGUGACUGGAAUGUGAUGUGUAGCGGUGAAAUGCUUAGAUAUGUCACAGAACGCCAAUCGUGAAGACAGGUCACGAAAUUAUUACUGACGCUCAUGCACGAAAGCGUGGGGAUCAAACAGGAUUAGAAACCCUAGUAGUCC
RNAcentral lists this ribosomal RNA (445 nucleotides) under uncultured bacterium. Its description in RNAcentral is "partial 16S ribosomal RNA". It matches the Rfam family "Bacterial small subunit ribosomal RNA", at positions 354 to 796 of the family's 1533-position model. The record is from RNAcentral.